AUGGAAACCAAGUUUCUGCUAGAGUGGAAGAAAGAUCUUUAUGAUCCGAAUACUUGCCGGAAGGAAGCCUUGACACAUAUCUUACUAGAUGAAUCGUGUGCGCUUGAUUGGAACAUAUGUUACAACAUAAUUAAGGGAUUAUGUGAGGGUUUACAUUACCUUCAUGAAGGAUUAGAGUAUCCUUUUUACCAUCUGGAAUUAAAACCUACAAAAAUUUUGCUGGAUAAGGACAUGAUGCCCAAAAUUGGGGGUUUUGGUUUCUCUAGACAUUCAACAGAAACCUUCAACACAUCAGAAGUCAUGGGAACAAGUGUAUACAUGCCACCAGAAUACAUCAGUAAACGACAAAUUACACCAAAGUUUGAUGUAUUCAGUCUGGGCAUUAUAAUCUUGCAAAUAAUGGCAGGAAAGCAGAGCUACAUCAAAUGUGCAGAUAUUCCUCCUGAAGAAUUUAUUGAGCUUGAAUAUGAAUUAUGGGUAAAUAGGCUGCAGGCCACAAUAUCGAAGCGUACUUCACGUGAAGUUAGGACAUGCAUCGGAAUAGCUCUAAAAUGCGUGGAGUUCAAUCUGAUGAAGAGGCCUACUAUAAAUGAGAUCAUACAAGAACUGAAUAAGAUUGAUAUUGUUGAGUGGUCAUUCGAGUUCUUAGAACGCAUUACAAAUGGUUUUUCUGAGCAGAACAUAGUUGGCCGUGGCGGAUAUGGAGUUAUUUACAAGGGGGUGUUGGAGAAUGGAGAAGAGAUUGCUGUUAAGAAACUUCAUCCAGUGUUGUGGAUUGAUGAUGAGCAGUUUAAGAAUGAGCUUAAUAUUCUAAUGAGGAUCAAACACAAAAAUAUCGUACAGUUAGUUGGCUACUGCCACCAUACAUCACAGAUAGUUGCCGAGUAUAAAGGAGAACAUGUUUCUGCUAGUGUGGUAGAAAGAGCGAUUUGUUUGGAAUACAUGCAGGGUGGGAGCCUUGCCGAUCAACUUUCUGCUGAACCUUGCACACUUGAUUGGGACAAAUGCUACAAAAUAAUAAAAGAAAUUUGUGAGGGUUUACAUAACCUUCAUAAUGCUGAUGCUCCCAGUUACCAUCUGGACUUAAAACCUGCCAAUAUUUUGUUGGAUAAGGAUAUGGUAGCAAAACUUGGUGAUUUUGGUUUGUCAAGAUUAUUUGAUUCGAUGCAAACCUAUAUCACAGAAUCCCAAGAUAUGAAAGGAACACGUGGAUAUAUGCCACCAGAAUACAUCAAUAGACAACAAAUCAGUCCGAAGUUUGACGUUUUCAGUCUCGGGGUCAUAAUCAUACAAAUAAUGGCAGGAAAGGAUGGCUACUUCAACUGUGCAGACACACCUCCGAAAGAAUAUAUUAAGCAUGUAUGUGAAAACUGGCGAAUGAGGCUGCAAGCAACAAUGUCGUCCCAUGUAUCUGAAGAAGUGAGGACAUGCAUCGAAAUAGCAUUAAAAUGUGUGGAGGACGACCGAACCAGAAGGCCUACUAUAGCCCAGAUUGUCAAUGAACUAAGUAACAUUUGUAUUGCUAAAAGUAAACCGAUAUGUCAGUGGGCAAACAAGCUGACUGCGUUGAAGACCUUUCUCACUUCAAGCAUUGGCUGUUCCUCUUAG
This 1608-nucleotide ribosomal RNA is filed under the name Triticum aestivum (bread wheat). RNAcentral describes it as "partial small subunit ribosomal RNA". Lineage: Eukaryota; Viridiplantae; Streptophyta; Magnoliopsida; Poales; Poaceae. The record is from RNAcentral.